This 875-nucleotide long non-coding RNA is filed under the name Selaginella moellendorffii. RNAcentral describes it as "long non-coding RNA (SMOE_LNC001137)". Lineage: Eukaryota; Viridiplantae; Streptophyta; Lycopodiopsida; Selaginellales; Selaginellaceae. The record is from RNAcentral.
CGCGAAAAAUAUAUUCAUUAAUCAUGCUUUGGCACCAAUGUCGGUGGAGUCUAGUGGUGAGUAUCUCCGCCUGUCACGCGGAGGACCCGGGUUCGAUCCUCGGUGUAGUGGAAAAUUGCUCCUGUUUUGGCGGAGUAUCUCCGCGGAGGACCCGGGUUCGAUCCUCGGUCAAGUGAAAAGUUUUUGUUAAUAGAUGAAUGGAUCUCAUCCUCUGGAUUGCUGCGGACCACCAAACAAAGAAUUGACAAGGAGCCAGCGGUCGCAACUGCAAACAAAGCCUCUUCCACUGGAAUAUAGAAACAUGCCCAACCGCGGACAAAGGCUUUUCCACGGGAAUAAAAGCUGCGCAUUGGAACAAGUAGCGGCGAAGAUGAUAGAAAACUUACCAGAAUUUUGCAAGCUGGCAAUUGCUUCCAAAAGAACCGCUUAACUUAAAUCGCCCAAAAGAGAGCUCUCUCUUGCUUUUGCGUUUCCUCCUAAGAAAACGAAAGGUUGAAAGCUUUCCAAGGGUCAAAGUUUCGCACCAAGCAAUAUAGAUAUCGAAGGUACCUGCGAUUCCUUUCUUAUGCUUUAAAAGUCGUGCGCGCUAACUCUUGCGAAGGAAGGAAUCAGUUCCGCAGCAGCAAUCCGACAAGUCGCUUGGAAGUCAUGAGGUGCGCCAACUGAUUGAGCUGGUCCGCGGGCCAAGGAAGUAAUCGUCCAAGCCGAUCCUGACGCAAAGGCCAAGACUGUAGAUGGCGAUGACGAUUGCUCGCCAGCAACGCCUACAGGAAGAAUGGGAGUUACUUUGAAGGAAAACAAGGAGAAAUGACGAAGGAAAGACUUAUCUUGACAACGAAACCAAAGGUACCUCUGCUUCUCAAAAAAUUCUCUUU